UGAGGAAUAUUGGUCAAUGGGCGAGAGCCUGAACCAGCCAAGUAGCGUGCAGGAUGACGGCCCUAUGGGUUGUAAACUGCUUUUAUGUGGGGAUAAAGUGCGUGACGUGUCAUGCAUUGCAGGUACCAUACGAAUAAGGACCGGCUAAUUCCGUGCCAGCAGCCGCGGUAAUACGGAAGGUCCAGGCGUUAUCCGGAUUUAUUGGGUUUAAAGGGAGCGUAGGCUGUUUGUUAAGCGUGUUGUGAAAUGUAGGAGCUCAACUUUUAGAUUGCAGCGCGAACUGGCAGACUUGAGUGCGCACAACGUAGGCGGAAUUCAUGGUGUAGCGGUGAAAUGCUUAGAUAUCAUGACGAACUCCGAUUGCGAAGGCAGCUUACGGGAGCGCAACUGACGCUAAAGCUCGAAGGUGCGGGUAUCGAACAGG
This 424-nucleotide ribosomal RNA is filed under the name Verrucomicrobiota bacterium. Its description in RNAcentral is "Verrucomicrobia bacterium partial 16S ribosomal RNA". It matches the Rfam family "Bacterial small subunit ribosomal RNA", at positions 355 to 776 of the family's 1533-position model. The record is from RNAcentral. Lineage: Bacteria; Pseudomonadati; Verrucomicrobiota.